RNAcentral lists this ribosomal RNA (253 nucleotides) under uncultured bacterium. RNAcentral's name for it is "partial 16S ribosomal RNA". It matches the Rfam family "Bacterial small subunit ribosomal RNA", at positions 524 to 776 of the family's 1533-position model. The record is from RNAcentral.
UACGUAGGGGGCAAGCGUUGUCCGGAAUCAUUGGGCGUAAAGCGCGUGUAGGCGGCUUGAUAAGUCUGCUCUGAAAGCCAGGGGCUCAACCCUGGGAGGCGGGUGGAUACUGUCGAGCUCGAGUCCGGAAGAGGCGAGUGGAAUUCCUGGUGUAGCGGUGAAAUGCGCAGAUAUCAGGAGGAACACCAAUGGCGAAGGCAGCUCGCUGGGACGGUACUGACGCUGAGACGCGAAAGCGUGGGGAGCGAACAGG